AGACUCAUCUACGAGGCGCAGUGAUGGAACAGCAGGACGUGUGAUUGGCACAGAAAACCUGAAAGAGCUUCGAACUCUAAUCAUCCAUCUGAGAGAGCUGGGAGCUCCAGCUGCAGUACCUCUGGAUGAGGUUUCCUCUGUGGACGUCUCCCAUCAGACUCUGGACCAGGGCUUGUUCCACGUGCUGCUCAGAGCGUCCCUGUCUCUGUCCUCCAUCAAUCACCUGCUGCAGUCUCCUGCUGAGAGGACGCAUGAGGAGGAGGAGGCUCAGCUGAGGCUCCAGCUGCUGCAGAGUCUGUCGGCCGAGCUGGCGACCCUUGGCGAGGAGCUGAGCUCGCGGGGGUCAAAGGUCACGAC
This is a long non-coding RNA of Pleuronectes platessa (European plaice), 357 nucleotides long. RefSeq lists it as uncharacterized. NCBI's taxonomy places the organism in Eukaryota, Metazoa, Chordata, Actinopteri, Pleuronectiformes, Pleuronectidae. The record is from RefSeq and is a predicted model, not a curated record. The transcript has 3 exons.